CCUACGGGAUGCUGCAGUGAGGAAUAUUGGUCAAUGGACGCAAGUCUGAACCAGCCAUGCCGCGUGCAGGAAGACGGCUCUAUGAGUUGUACACUGCUUUUGUACGAGGGUAAACGCAGAUACGCGUAUCUGUCUGAAAGUAUCGUACGAAUAAGGAUCGGCUAACUCCGUGCCCGCAGCCGCGGUAAUCCGGAGGCGUCAAGCGUUAUCCGGAUUUAUUGGGUUUAAAGGGUGCGUAGGCGGUCGGAUAAGUUAGAGGUGAAAUCCCGAGGCUUAACUUCGGAAUUGCCUCUGAUACUGUUCGGCUAGAGAGUAGUUGCGGGAGGCGGAAUGUAUGGUGUAGCGGUGAAAUGCUUAGAGAUCAUACAGAACACCGAUUGCGAAGGCAGCUUACCAAGCUACUUCGGACGUUGAGGCACGAAAGCGUGGGGAGCAAACAGGAGUAGAUACCCGGGUAGUC
This 460-nucleotide ribosomal RNA is filed under the name uncultured bacterium. RNAcentral's name for it is "partial 16S ribosomal RNA". It matches the Rfam family "Bacterial small subunit ribosomal RNA", at positions 338 to 795 of the family's 1533-position model. The record is from RNAcentral.